UGGUGGAGUGAUUUGUCUGGUUAAUUCCGUUAACGAACGAGACCUCGACCUGCUAACUAGUUUGACAAAGAUUCGUCUUUGCAUACAGACUUCUUAGAGGGACUAUCGGUGUGUAGCCGACGGAAGUUCGAGGCAAUAACA
RNAcentral lists this ribosomal RNA (141 nucleotides) under uncultured eukaryote. RNAcentral's name for it is "partial 18S ribosomal RNA". It matches the Rfam family "Eukaryotic small subunit ribosomal RNA", at positions 1299 to 1458 of the family's 1831-position model. The record is from RNAcentral.